Molecule: long non-coding RNA, 279 nt
Organism: Protopterus annectens (West African lungfish)
Lineage: Eukaryota; Metazoa; Chordata; Ceratodontiformes; Protopteridae
Exons: 3
Source: RefSeq, a predicted model, not a curated record
ACCAAGCUGAACUCCCCAUUGCCAAAGCAAUACUCCCUGCUGCUUCAACUCCCUUUUUGAGGAAAAGUGUACCUAGUGACCUUAAAAAGAACUGAAGAAACUUUCUUGCUCUGAAUCUUUCCCCUGUGUCUCUGCCUGGGCGAAUAACUGGACCUAACCAAGCUGAACUCCCCAUUGCCAAAGCAAUACUCCCUGCUGCUUCAACUCCCUUUUUGAGGAAAAGUGUACCUAGUGACCUUAAAAAGAACUGAAGAAACUUUCUUGCUCUGAAUCUUUCCC